This 378-nucleotide ribosomal RNA is filed under the name uncultured bacterium. Its description in RNAcentral is "bacterial SSU rRNA". It matches the Rfam family "Bacterial small subunit ribosomal RNA", at positions 28 to 404 of the family's 1533-position model. The record is from RNAcentral.
GACGAACGCUGGCGGCGCGCCUCAUACAUGCAAGUCGAACGUGAAGCCCGGAGCUUGCUCCGGGUGGAAAGUGGCGAACGGGUGAGGAACACGUGAGGAACCUGCCCCGAAGACCGGGAUAACACCGGGAAACCGGUGCUAAUACCGGAUGCCCUCAUCGGAUCUCAUGAUCCGAUGAGGAAAUGGAUUCCGCUUCGGGAUGGCCUCGCGGCCUAUCAGCUUGGGGUGGGGUAACGGCCCACCAAGGCUUCGACGGGUAGCUGGUCUGAGAGGAUGUCCAGCCACACUGGGACUGAGACACGGCCCAGACUCCUACGGGAGGCAGCAGUAGGGAAUCUUGCGCAAUGAGCGAAAGCUUGACGCAGCGACGCCGCGUGC